Molecule: RNase P RNA, 472 nt
Filed under: Bacteroidetes bacterium UKL13-3
Lineage: Bacteria; Pseudomonadati; Bacteroidota
Also listed under: 1 other name
Description: Bacterial RNase P class A
Rfam family: Bacterial RNase P class A
About the family: Ribonuclease P (RNase P) is a ubiquitous endoribonuclease, found in archaea, bacteria and eukarya as well as chloroplasts and mitochondria. Its best characterised activity is the generation of mature 5'-ends of tRNAs by cleaving the 5'-leader elements of precursor-tRNAs. Cellular RNase Ps are ribonucleoproteins.
Source: Rfam by way of RNAcentral
CGUGCAAAACAGAUUGUCGCCUUGUUAUCCCGAUAGCUAUCGGGAUACAUGGAGGAAAGUCCGGGCAACACAGAGUGCCGUGCCACCUAACGGGUGGGAAGCUCAGUAUAAUAUUGGGUUUACAGAUAGUGCCGCAGAAAAUUAAACUACCUCAAAAAGUCACUUCGGCCUAGGCUCAGUGACCUUUUUGCGGAAAAGGUGAAAAGGCGGUGUAAGAGACCACCGUUCCGCCAGUAAUGACGGAAGCAAGGUAAACCUCACGGGUUGUAAGGCCAAAUAGGCCGGUGCUUCGGCUUCGCUCAGCAACCUUUAGUGGUUGUAUUGAGUAAGCUGAUAAAAGAACUUCUCGUUCGAUGCCGGUGGGUAGGCUGCUAGAGGUAAUCAGUGAUGGUUAUCGGAGAUAAAUGACAAUCGCUUUGAAUCAAGUAAUUGGUUUAAAGGACAGAACCCGGCUUAUCGUUUUGCGCUAAGA